AAAUAGAUACCCAGGUAGUCCACCCCGUAAACGUUGGGAACUAGUUGUGGGGUCCAUUCCACGGAUUCCGUGACGCAGCUAACGCAUUAAGUUCCCCGCCUGGGGAGUACGGCCGCAAGGCUAAAACUCAAAGGAAUUGACGGGGACCCGCACAAGCGGCGGAGCAUGCGGAUUAAUUCGAUGCAACGCGAAGAACCUUACCAAGGCUUGACAUACACGAGAACGGGCCAGAAAUGGUCAACUCUUUGGACACUCGUGAACAGGUGGUGCAUGGUUGUCGUCAGCUCGUGUCGUGAGAUGUUGGGUUAAGUCCCGCAACGAGCGCAACCCUCGUUCUAUGUUGCCAGCACGUAAUGGUGGGAACUCAUGGGAUACUGCCGGGGUCAACUCGGAGGAAGGUGGGGAUGACGUCAAAUCAUCAUGCCCCUUAUGUCUUGGGCUUCACGCAUGCUACAAUGGCCGGUACAAAGGGCUGCAAUACCGUGAGGUGGAGCGAAUCCCAAAAAGCCGGUCCAGUUCGGAUUGAGGUCUGCAACUCGA
RNAcentral lists this ribosomal RNA (540 nucleotides) under uncultured bacterium. RNAcentral's name for it is "bacterial SSU rRNA". It matches the Rfam family "Bacterial small subunit ribosomal RNA", at positions 776 to 1315 of the family's 1533-position model. The record is from RNAcentral.